CCCUUAGAUGUUCUGGGCCGCACACGCGCUACACUGAAGGAGGCAGCGUGUACUCCUGGAUCGAAAGAUUUGGGUAACCCGCGAAUCUCCUUCGUGCCAGGGAUUGAGGUUUGCAAUUAUCCUUCAUGAACGAGGAAUUCCCAGUAAGUGCAAGUCAUAAGCUUGCGCUGACUACGUCCCUGCCCUUUGUACACACCGCCCGUCGCUACUACCGAUUGAAUGAUUUAGUGAGGACUUCGGACUGGGACCGAUGCGGCUUUCGGGCUGCGUCGGUAUUCUGGAAAGAUGUCCAAACUGUAUCAUUUAGAGGAAGUAAAANUCGUAACA
RNAcentral lists this ribosomal RNA (327 nucleotides) under uncultured eukaryote. RNAcentral describes it as "partial 18S ribosomal RNA". It matches the Rfam family "Eukaryotic small subunit ribosomal RNA", at positions 1470 to 1796 of the family's 1831-position model. The record is from RNAcentral.